GAUGAACGCUGGCGGCGUGCCUAAUACAUGCGAGUCGAGCGAACAGACGAGGAGCUUGCUCCUCUGACGUUAGCGGCGGACGGGUGAGUAACACGUGGAUAACCUACCUAUAAGACUGGGAUAACUUCGGGAAACCGGAGCUAAUACCGGAUAAUAUAUUGAACCGCAUGGUUCAAUAGUGAAAGACGGUUUUGCUGUCACUUAUAGAUGGAUCCGCGCCGCAUUAGCUAGUUGGUAAGGUAACGGCUUACCAAGGCAACGAUGCGUAGCCGACCUGAGAGGGUGAUCGGCCACACUGGAACUGAGACACGGUCCAGACUCCUACGGGAGGCAGCAGUAGGGAAUCUUCCGCAAUGGGCGAAAGCCUGACGGAGCAACGCCGCGUGAGUGAUGAAGGUCUUCGGAUCGUAAAACGCUGUUAUUAGGGAAGAACAAAUGUGUAAGUAACUAUGCACGUCUGGACGGUACCUAAUCAGAAAGCCACGGCUAACUAGGU
Molecule: ribosomal RNA, 496 nt
Filed under: uncultured bacterium
Lineage: Bacteria
Description: partial 16S ribosomal RNA
Rfam family: Bacterial small subunit ribosomal RNA
Source: RNAcentral